UCAUGUAAUCUGGAAAUUGUCAUCUUGAUUUAUGUUUUCCUUGGUGAAGCACUUAGCCCCAAAUUGCCUGCUGAUCUGCAUAUUGGUGUCUGACUGUUUGAGUGCGAUUGAUGAAUGUAGCUCUAGUGUAAAGUGCUUUAGUGGUCAGCAUAACUACAAAAGUUCAAUAUAAAUUCAGUCCGUUUACCAUUUCAUUAAUGUUUAAGCCCUAUGUUAGAAGUAAUAGGAUGCUUUAAAACUCUCCUCUGGAUGCCAUUUUCCCCAUCAUCUUUCUUAUGAAUAAUGAGCCCUAAUCUCAGCUGAGGGAAGGGAAUGUUGAUGUUCUGUUGCAGGAGUUAUGAUAUGCCGGUGAUUUAUGAGAAGGUUCACCAUUGGUCCAUGUUUUCUGUGGUUUCCAAACUGAUGCAUGUCAUUGAUUUUCUCACCCGUUCUUCAAUUUCUUCAGAUUGGAGGAGAAUGUGGCUAUUUAAGACAUUUUGCCGACUUCGUGUUGUCAGAAUGGUUCUAUUUAAGUUACUUCUUUUUUUAUUUUUCCACAGGACUACGUGUAAUCAGUUCUGGGUUCUGUUGGUGGAAUUGGACCAAAAUAAUGUUCCCUUUUUUGGGUCUUGUGCAAAUUUUGUUAAUACCCAGAGGGGAGUCUAGACUUACCAGCAGCGCAGAUACUGGACAGGCCAACCACUGCUCACAAGCCCAAGACAGAAAAACUUAGCCCAGCUGUUACAUUUAAGCAACUGAUUAAUGCAGUUGUUUGUUCUUGUACAACAGAAUCCAAGAAACUAUUUUUCUCAGGCAUCAGUGCAACGCUGCAAAA
Molecule: long non-coding RNA, 814 nt
Organism: Xiphophorus hellerii (green swordtail)
Lineage: Eukaryota; Metazoa; Chordata; Actinopteri; Cyprinodontiformes; Poeciliidae
Exons: 2
Source: RefSeq, a predicted model, not a curated record